Long non-coding RNA from Clupea harengus (Atlantic herring), 433 nucleotides. The record is from Ensembl. NCBI's taxonomy places the organism in Eukaryota, Metazoa, Chordata, Actinopteri, Clupeiformes, Clupeidae.
AGGCCCACUAAUUGAAAGUAAACAGACCACUGGGGAACACCACACAAAUUUGAUGGGCUGGAAAGUCCAGCAGCCGACAUGGCGGAUGUUUAAUCUUGUCGAGUUCUGGAUCUGCAACAAGAUUAAUUAACCUAAUUACAGUAAACAGCACGGCUGGGGUUGGACGCGGUCGCCAAAACACUACAGAUCUGACGAGAAGGAAAAGGGGGAAAAAAGCCGCCUCUUCAAGCGCUCACAGAUUCCGCAGCCUCUUAGCCUCUCACAGUGACCAUGGCGACUUGAGUGAGGGGAGCGACAUUGAUGCAGAGAACAGCAAUUACUUUGAGGACAAGAACAACAAUGAAUGAGAAGAUUCAAUUUCAGACCCAGAUCAUGAUGUGACUGCUGACCUGCUAGCCAAGGCUCAGUGGAGGAGAGACAUGUUUGAGGAGGA